Molecule: transfer RNA, 84 nt
Filed under: Candidatus Onthovivens merdipullorum
Lineage: Bacteria; Bacillati; Bacillota; Bacilli; Caryophanales
Description: tRNA-Leu
Rfam family: tRNA
About the family: Transfer RNA (tRNA) molecules are approximately 80 nucleotides in length.
Source: RNAcentral
GGCGAGAUGAUGUAAUUGGUAGCCAUGCGACUCUUAAACAGUCGUGGUCAGAAGACCGUGUGGGUUCGACUCCCAUUCUCGCUA